This 402-nucleotide long non-coding RNA is filed under the name Elaeis guineensis (African oil palm). RNAcentral's name for it is "long non-coding RNA (EGUI_LNC080936)". The record is from RNAcentral. Lineage: Eukaryota; Viridiplantae; Streptophyta; Magnoliopsida; Arecales; Arecaceae.
AUAUACAUACAUAUAUAUAUACACACACGCACAUGCGCACACACAUAUAUAUAUGUAUAUGUAUGUGUAUGUGCAUGUGUACAUAUGUAGUUAGACUAGGUUCCGAUCAAUUAAAUUUGAGCCCAAAUCUGACCAAGUUCCCCACCAUCCAAUCCACAUUGAUUUUUACAUAGAAAAAGGGUUAGCAACCACUUUUUUCAUCCAUUUAGAUUUGAAAAAAAUAUAUAAAAACCUAUACCAUUUAUGCGGAUGGGACAAAAAAAUAUAAAAAAGCCAGGCUGAUGAAAAAAUAUAAAAAAGUUAGGCCAUCAAUAUGGAUGGGAUAGAAAGAUAUAAAAAAGUCAAGCUACUAAUAUAAAUAGGAUGGAGAAAAUAUACAAAAGUUAGACUAUUAAUGCAGUG